UGGAUCCAGACUUUGAUCAUGCUCAGGAUGAACGCUAGCUACAGGCUUAACACAUGCAAGUCGAGGGGAAACGAUAGAGAAAGCUUGCUUUUUCUAGGCGUCGACCGGCGCACGGGUGAGUAACGCGUAUCCAACCUGCCCAUCACUUGGGAUAACCUUGCGAAAGUAAGACUAAUACCCAAUGAUAUCUCUAGAAGACAUCUGAAAGAGAUUAAAGAUUUAUCGGUGAUGGAUGGGGAUGCGUCUGAUUAGCUUGUUGGCGGGGUAACGGCCCACCAAGGCGACGAUCAGUAGGGGUUCUGAGAGGAAGGUCCCCCACAUUGGAACUGAGACACGGUCCAAACUCCUACGGGAGGCAGCAGUGAGGAAUAUUGGUCAAUGGGCGAGAGCCUGAACCAGCCAAGUAGCGUGCAGGAUGACGGCCCUAUGGGUUGUAAACUGCCUUUAUAAGGGAAUAAAGUGAGAGUCGUGACUCUUUUUGCAUGUACCUUAUGAAUAAGGACCGGCUAAUUCCGUGCCAGCAGCCGCGGUAAUACGGAAGGUCCGGGCGUUAUCCGGAUUUAUUGGGUUUAAAGGGAGCGUAGGCCGGAGAUUAAGCGUGUUGUGAAAUGUAGAUGCUCAACAUCUGCACUGCAGCGCGAACUGGUUUCCUUGAGUACGCACAAAGUGGGCGGAAUUCGUGGUGUAGCGGUGAAAUGCUUAGAUAUCACGAAGAACUCCGAUUGCGAAGGCAGCUCACUGGAGCGCAACUGACGCUGAAGCUCGAAAGUGCGGGUAUCGAACAGGAUUAGAUACCCUGGUAGUCCGCACGGUAAACGAUGGAUGCCCGCUGUUGG
Molecule: ribosomal RNA, 836 nt
Filed under: uncultured Bacteroidota bacterium
Lineage: Bacteria; Pseudomonadati; Bacteroidota
Description: bacterial SSU rRNA
Rfam family: Bacterial small subunit ribosomal RNA
Source: RNAcentral